This 462-nucleotide long non-coding RNA is filed under the name Anser brachyrhynchus (Pink-footed goose). Its description in RNAcentral is "lncRNA (ENSABRG00000018801.1)". The record is from RNAcentral. Lineage: Eukaryota; Metazoa; Chordata; Aves; Anseriformes; Anatidae.
GAGCCAGCUAACAAAAGAAAUCCUGAGGAGAGGGAAAAGCAUUGUAGCUAUGAAGAGCAAUUAAACAGACCAGGGAUCUUCAGCCUGCGAGGUAGCUGAGGAGAGAUCCAGUAGAGGUGUAUAAAAUUAUGAGUGGCCUGGAAAAAUGAAUUGAUUGCUACUCUUUUACUUCAGUUACCAGAAAAAGCAGAUUCAGAAGAAACCAAAGGGGAGACACCAACUUGUCAAAUGGGAGGAGGCCCUUUGAAGUGUGGAGAUAAGGACCUUUCUAGCCUUCAGUCAUAUCUGAAAGCCAUUUCCAGCCAGCAGAGGAACGUAUCAUUCAGCUGGAUUGGGUUUGCCCACGUUGUACAGAGGAAUGGACGUGCGGAGUUGGUGCAGAUUCCCCUGUCUGGUUGGCAUCGGCAGCUGGAUUAUCAAGAUGUCUUGACAAAGUACUUCUGCACAGUAUUUUUCAUGUAA